RNAcentral lists this long non-coding RNA (562 nucleotides) under Mytilus galloprovincialis (Mediterranean mussel). The record is from RNAcentral. Lineage: Eukaryota; Metazoa; Mollusca; Bivalvia; Mytilida; Mytilidae.
AGUUUCAAAGCAUACCCAUUGGACACGAACGCUUUCAUGAAGAGGAAAUUGUUUUAGAUAUAUCUGUAAAACCAAUUUAUGGUAGGUACAUUUUCAUAAAUUAUGACUAAAACAAGAUGAAAGUUAAAAUAAUUACUUAUGAAAAAAGAAGAUGUGGUAUGAUUGCCAAUGAGACAACUUUCCACAAGAUACCACAAAAUGACACAGAAAUUAACCACUAUAGGUCACCAUCAAGCCAUCAAAAAUGAACAAAUAUAAAAAAGAAGAUGUGGUAUGAUUGCCAAUGAGACAACUAUCCACAAAAGACCAAAAUGACACAGACAUUAACAACUAUAGGUCACCGUACGGCCUUCAACAAUGAGCAAAGCCCAUACCGCAUAGUCAGCUAUAAUAGGCCCCGAUAAGACAAUGUAAAACAAUUCAAACGAGAAAACUAACGGCCUUACUUAUGUAAAAAAAUGAACGAAAAACAAAUAUGUAACACAUAAACAAACGACAACCACUGAAUUACAGGCUCCUGACUUGGGACAGGCACAUACAUACAUAAUGUGGCGGGGUUAAA